This 27-nucleotide non-coding RNA is filed under the name Mus musculus (house mouse). Lineage: Eukaryota; Metazoa; Chordata; Mammalia; Rodentia; Muridae. The record is from RNAcentral.
UGUAGAUUUUCUGAACAUCCUCGGGUA